Molecule: unclassified non-coding RNA, 329 nt
Filed under: soil metagenome
Description: partial contains 5.8S ribosomal RNA, internal transcribed spacer 2, and large subunit ribosomal RNA
Rfam family: 5.8S ribosomal RNA (bases 1-120)
Source: RNAcentral
GAUGAAGAACGCAGCGAAAUGCGAUAAGUAAUGUGAAUUGCAGAAUUCAGUGAAUCAUCGAAUCUUUGAACGCACAUUGCGCCCCCUGGUAUUCCGGGGGGCAUGCCUGUCCGAGCGUCAUUACAACCCUCAAGCUCAGCUUGGUGUUGGGCCCCGCCGCCCCGGCGGGCCCUAAAGUCAGUGGCGGUGCCGUCCGGCUCCGAGCGUAGUAAUUCUUCUCGCUCUGGAGGUCCGGUCGUGUGCUCGCCAGCAACCCCCAAUUUUUUUCAGGUUGACCUCGGACCAGGUAGGGAUACCCGCUGAACUUAAGCAUAUCAAUAAGCGGAGGA